GGUCUGUUCCUUUGUUUUUUAGUGUUACACUUUUGAGUGUAAGUGUACGAAAUUCUAUGGACAUUUGAGUGUAAAAUGACAGCGGAUGUGACAGCGGCUCAUGACAGCGGACAGUAUUAAACGAAAAUUAUCGGUGUGCCAAUCAAGCAAAGGGACAAGGAACUUCCGAAUAUGGCCUAACGGGGGGCACAUAACAUAACAUAACCUAAUCCUAAUAUUUACAUUUGUAAAGAAUAUCCUGUUUGUUUUUAUUGUCGAUUGUGCAGCGAAAUUGUGUGCAGCAAAUCAAAUAUAAAGUAGUUUAUCGCCUACAGAACUGAAUUAGUCCAUAGCAGUUAUCAGUUUUUCUUUCUUGGGAAGCUUAUACAUGUAACUUGUAUUGUUGUAAAUUGUGGGAGUAGGGCAGACAGGGAAAAGUCUUAUUUUGUACUGUUCCCAAGGCUCCCCAUGCAAUACAUUUAAAUGAAUUAUCCAAACAAAGCCGGGGACAAUGGAUAAAAGCCACAAGAAGAACAGAUAUAAGGGAACUAAAAUUAAAAUAUGAAAAGUAAACAUUUUAUAAGUGGAACAACCACCAGAUAUUUAAAAGGUAUAAAAAGAAGAAACUGCUGGAAUUUCAAAACAAAUGUGUUUGACUAGUAAAGAUUUGGAUAAAUAACAGGAGUUACUUUGGGCUAUAGCUACGUGCAGAUUUAUUUCCUUGUGGCUUCCUAUGUUAAUUCUUAUUAAUUAUACACUUAAAUAUGUUUUUAGUCUCAGGAAGAUUUUAUAUUUGAUUAUUUUUGAAUAAACAUUAUUAUUAUUAUUACCUUAAUUUCCAUUAAAUAAAUUAACUGUAAUCAAUAAAGUAAUCGUUUAAUUGUUAAUAAAUUAUCAAGUAUGA
Diabrotica virgifera virgifera (western corn rootworm) is the source of this 883-nucleotide long non-coding RNA. RefSeq lists it as uncharacterized. NCBI's taxonomy places the organism in Eukaryota, Metazoa, Arthropoda, Insecta, Coleoptera, Chrysomelidae. The transcript has 2 exons. The record is from RefSeq and is a predicted model, not a curated record.